This 329-nucleotide unclassified non-coding RNA is filed under the name soil metagenome. Its description in RNAcentral is "partial contains 5.8S ribosomal RNA, internal transcribed spacer 2, and large subunit ribosomal RNA". The stretch from base 1 to 120 matches the Rfam family "5.8S ribosomal RNA", at positions 35 to 154 of the family's 154-position model. The record is from RNAcentral.
GAUGAAGAACGCAGCGAAAUGCGAUAAGUAGUGUGAAUUGCAGAAUUCAGUGAAUCAUCGAAUCUUUGAACGCACAUUGCGCCCCUUGGUAUCCCGAGGGGCAUGCCUGUUCGAGCGUCAUUUCACCACUCAAGCCUGGCUUGGUGUUGGGCGACGUCCCCUUUAGUGACGCGCCUCGAAACGCUCGGCGGCGCGGCACCGGCUUUAAGCGUAGCAGAAUCUUUCGCUUUGGAAGUCGGGGCCCCGCCUGCCGGGAUACCUACUUGUAAGGUUGACCUCGGAUCAGGCAGGGAUACCCGCUGAACUUAAGCAUAUCAAUAAGCGGAGGA